This 506-nucleotide long non-coding RNA is filed under the name Solanum tuberosum (potato). RNAcentral's name for it is "long non-coding RNA (STUB_LNC004330)". The record is from RNAcentral. Lineage: Eukaryota; Viridiplantae; Streptophyta; Magnoliopsida; Solanales; Solanaceae.
UGUCUAUGUUGGCCAUUUCUUCUAUUUAUCUGCUCAAAAGGACAAAACCCACUCUUCUUCAGAAGCCCAUAUAACCAGCUCAUUACAGAAAACUUUUACAUGUUUUUAUAAUCAACUUUACAUGUUUUUAUAAGCAAAAGCAAACAUUUCAUCAAUUUGUACCAAGAAAGUGCUAGUAUGUACAGAAAAAGAAAAGGACCUUGAUUCCUUUAGAUCUGAGUAGCAAAUAAAAAAAAUACUUUGGAAAUUAGAACUGCACUUAUUACUUUUACAUAGAGGCAGGGUACUGAUUUUAGACAAAGACAAACUUCCAUGUAUCCUUUUUAACAAUAUGAACAAACAUUUAGUAUUCUAUAGCAGACAAUCAACAAGCAGCUCCUGAGUGAAAUUAGACAGAUAAGAACACCUACAUCAACUGUACAUACAAGCUAUGUUGCUCGAACUCCCCAAAAUUGUUGUCGUACUCGUAUCGGAUCCUCAAAAAGAACACUACUUUUGGAGGAUUC